This 497-nucleotide ribosomal RNA is filed under the name uncultured bacterium. Its description in RNAcentral is "partial 16S ribosomal RNA". It matches the Rfam family "Bacterial small subunit ribosomal RNA", at positions 28 to 507 of the family's 1533-position model. The record is from RNAcentral.
GAUGAACGCUAGCUGCGGGCCUAAUACAUGCAAGUCGCGCGGCCACACGAGGGGCUUUCUCCUCUGACGUUAGCGACGGACGGGUGAGUAACUCAUGGAUAACCUACCUAUAAUUCUCGGCUGACUUCGGGAACCCAGAGCUAAUACCGGCUAAUAUAUUGAAACUGAUGGUUCCAUAGUGAAAGACGGUUUUGCUGUCACUUAUAGAUGGGUCCGCGCCGCUUUAGAUAGUUGGUAAGGUAACGGCUUACCAAGGCGCCGAUGCGUAGCCGACCUGAGAGGGGGAGCAGCCACACUGGAACUGAGAUGCGGUCCAGACUACUACGGGAGGCAGCAGAAGGGAAACUUCCGCAAUGCGCGAAAGGCUGACGGAGCAACGCCGAGUGGGGGAUGAAGUUCUUCGGAUCGUAAAACUCUGCUACUAGUGAAGAACAAAUGUGUAAGUAACUAGGCACGUCUUGACGGUACCGAAUCAGAAAGCAACGGCUAACUACGUG